This 159-nucleotide microRNA precursor is filed under the name Pelobates cultripes (western spadefoot toad). Lineage: Eukaryota; Metazoa; Chordata; Amphibia; Anura; Pelobatidae. The record is from RNAcentral.
GCUGACACAUCCCGGCCAAUCUCCAGCAGACCCUCCCUCCCAGAUCCUCCUACUUCCUGGACAGCAUCCAUGUUGAAGGCAGCUUCAACAUGGAUGCUGUCCAGGAGGUGGGAGGGUCUGGGAGGGAGGGUCUGCCGGAGAUUGGCAGGGAUGUGUCAG